AGUUUGAUCCUGGCUCAGAUUGAACGCUGGCGGCAGGCCUAACACAUGCAAGUCGAACGGUAACAGGAAGCAGCUUGCUGCUUCGCUGACGAGUGGCGGACGGGUGAGUAAUGUCUGGGAAACUGCCUGAUGGAGGGGGAUAACUACUGGAAACGGUAGCUAAUACCGCAUAACGUCGCAAGACCAAAGAGGGGGACCUUAGGGCCUCUUGCCAUCGGAUGUGCCCAGAUGGGAUUAGCUAGUAGGUGGGGUAACGGCUCACCUAGGCGACGAUCCCUAGCUGGUCUGAGAGGAUGACCAGCCACACUGGAACUGAGACACGGUCCAGACUCCUACGGGAGGCAGCAGUGGGGAAUAUUGCACAAUGGGCGCAAGCCU
RNAcentral lists this ribosomal RNA (378 nucleotides) under uncultured bacterium. RNAcentral describes it as "bacterial SSU rRNA". It matches the Rfam family "Bacterial small subunit ribosomal RNA", at positions 10 to 384 of the family's 1533-position model. The record is from RNAcentral.